AUUGAACGCUGGCGGCAGGCCUAACACAUACAAGUCGAACGGUAACAGGAAGCAGCUUGCUGCUUUGCUGACGAGUGGCGGACGGGUGAGUAAUGUCUGGGAAACUGCCCGAUGGAGGGGGAUAACUACUGGAAACGGUAGCUAAUACCGCAUAAUGUCGCAAGACCAAAGAGGGGGACCUUCGGGCCUCUUGCCAUCGGAUGUGCCCAGAUGGGAUUAGCUUGUUGGUGAGGUAACGGCUCACCAAGGCGACGAUCCCUAGCUGGUCUGAGAGGAUGACCAGACACACUGGAACUGAGACACGGUCCAGACUCCGACGGGAGGCAGCAGUGGGGAAUAUUGCACAAUGGGCGCAAGCCUGAUGCAGCCAUGCCGCGUGUAUGAAGAAGGCCUUCGGGUUGUAAAGUACUUUCAGCGGGGAGGAAGGGGUUAAGGUUAAUAACCUCAGCAAUUGACGUUACUCGCAGAAGAAGCACCGGCUAACUCCGUGCCAGCAGCCGCAGUAA
This 506-nucleotide ribosomal RNA is filed under the name uncultured bacterium. RNAcentral describes it as "partial 16S ribosomal RNA". It matches the Rfam family "Bacterial small subunit ribosomal RNA", at positions 30 to 523 of the family's 1533-position model. The record is from RNAcentral.